RNAcentral lists this long non-coding RNA (1042 nucleotides) under Canis lupus familiaris (dog). RNAcentral's name for it is "lncRNA (ENSCAFG00000051893.1)". Lineage: Eukaryota; Metazoa; Chordata; Mammalia; Carnivora; Canidae. The record is from RNAcentral.
UUCUUCUUCUUCUUCUUCUUCUUCUCUUCUUCUUCUUCUCCUUCUUUUUAAGGGUUUUAUUAUUUGAGAGACAGAGAGCAUGAGCAGAGGAACAGAGGGAGAGGGAGAAGGACACUCCCCGCUGAGCAGGGAGCCCAACGUGGGGCUCAAUCCCAGGACCCUGAGGUCAGGACCUGAGCCAAAGGCAGACGCUUAACCGACUGAACCACCCAGGUAUCCCACCUUUUCUCCUUUCCUCAUCUUUCUCAUGGUUCUGGAGCCUAGGAAGCCCCAAGCUUAUGGCACUGGCAGGUUCAGUGUCUGGGGAAGGUCUGCUGCUACCUGGUGGAAGGGAUCUCUGGGCCUCCUUUAUAAGGGCACGGAUCCCUAAGGAGCCGAUGCCUCCCAAAGGCCCCACCUCCUGGUACCAUCACCUUGGGGGUGAGGAUUUCAACGUGUGAAGUUUGAGAAGGAUGCAAACAUUCCGGUGACAGCACCUAGUUAUACAGGUUAUUUUGUGGACUGUUGGCUACUGUAAUAUUAUUAUUAACUAGUUGGCUCUGAUGUCUGCUUAGUCCCAGCCCCAUGAUGCCCUGAGCAUUUAAGACUCCAGUGGGGGCAGUGGGCCCAGCUCUAGUUCCUGUGACAGUCAGGGGUGCUUCUGGGCCACAGAGUUCCUAACAUCGGAGACUUGUGGAUCAUUCUCCACAUUUUCUUUCCCUUCAGCUCCCUCCUCUGCCCCCCUUCUAAGUCCCACACACACCACAAUCAGCCACCAUUUCCUGUCAGUGCCAAACUCAUCAUGACUCUCGGAUGGGUGCUUUCCUGUUUGUUGAGCCCAUCCUUCACACACCCUUGGCCUGAGCACUUCCUGUCCCCCUUCGCCGGCUCCUCUCUGCAGCAAGAGUCCUCUAAGGAGGAAACCACAGGAUGCAUCUGGACCUGCUCUCAGACUUGGAGACCGGAGUGACAUAGCCCUGAAGAAGCAGGCAGGCCAAAUGCAGGCUGUUCAUCCGGGGCAGUGGAGAAUCUAGACCCUCGAAGCCUCUUAGCUGAGUUCUUC